UACGGAGGAUGCGAGCGUUAUCCGGAUUUAUUGGGUUUAAAGGGUGCGUAGGCGGACUGUCAAGUCAGCGGUAAAAUUGAGAGGCUCAACCUCUUCCCGCCGUUGAAACUGGUGGUCUUGAGUGGAUGGGAAGUACGCGGAAUGCGUGGUGUAGCGGUGAAAUGCAUAGAUAUCACGCAGAACUCCGAUUGCGAAGGCAGCGUACCGGCAUCCAACUGACGCUGAGGCACGGAAGCGUGGGGAUCAAACAGG
This 252-nucleotide ribosomal RNA is filed under the name uncultured bacterium. RNAcentral describes it as "partial 16S ribosomal RNA". It matches the Rfam family "Bacterial small subunit ribosomal RNA", at positions 524 to 776 of the family's 1533-position model. The record is from RNAcentral.